RNAcentral lists this ribosomal RNA (408 nucleotides) under Sphaerodactylus torrei. Its description in RNAcentral is "partial 16S ribosomal RNA". It matches the Rfam family "Bacterial large subunit ribosomal RNA", at positions 1990 to 2579 of the family's 2925-position model. The record is from RNAcentral. Lineage: Eukaryota; Metazoa; Chordata; Lepidosauria; Squamata; Sphaerodactylidae.
GUAUGAAUGGCAUCAUGAGAGCCCAACUGUCUCCUCUGACUAAUCAAUGAACCUGAUCUGCCAGUACAAAAGCUGGCGUAAACCCAUAAGACGAGAAGACCCUGUGGAGCUUAAAAUAUUACUGCUACACACAGCCCCCCCCCAACAGGCCCACAGCAAAACAUAGCAUACAUUUUUGGUUGGGGCGACCACGGAACUAAGUCCAACUUCCACUAAUUUUAGCCCUCCCGGCCACACCAGGUCAACAAACCAAUCAUCACUUGACCCAGCAGCGCUGAGCAACGAACCAAGUUACCCCAGGGAUAACAGCGCCAUCCUCUUCAAGAGCCCCUAUCGCCAAGAGGGUUUACGACCUCGAUGUUGGAUCAGGGCCCCCAGGUGGUGCAACCGNUACCUAAGGUUCGUUUG